Molecule: ribosomal RNA, 477 nt
Filed under: Anastrepha nigra
Lineage: Eukaryota; Metazoa; Arthropoda; Insecta; Diptera; Tephritidae
Description: partial small subunit ribosomal RNA
Rfam family: Bacterial large subunit ribosomal RNA (bases 345-477)
Source: RNAcentral
UUUUAAAUGGCCGCAGUAAUUUGACUGUGCAAAGGUAGCAUAAUCAGUAGUCUUUUAAUUGAAGGCUUGUAUGAACGGUUGGACGAAGUAUAAACUGUUUCAUAUAAAUUUAUUUUAGAAUUUUAUAUUUUAGUUAAAAAGCUAAAAUUUUAUUAAAAGACGAGAAGACCCUAUAAAUCUUUAUAUUUUAUGUUAUUUAAGUUUUUUGAUUUUAUUUUAUUUUUAUAAUAUAWAAUAUUUUGUUGGGGUGAUGUUAAAAUUUAAUUAACUUUUAAUUUUUUAAAAUCAUUAAUUUAUGAAUUAUUGAUCCAUUAAUAUUGAUUAUAAGAUUAAGUUACUUUAGGGAUAACAGCGUAAUUUUUUUUGAGAGUUCAUAUCGAUAAAAAAGUUUGCGACCUCGAUGUUGGAUUAAGGUAUAAUUUUGGGUGUAGCUGUUCAAAUAUUAAGUCUGUUCGACUUUUAAAUUCUUACAUGAUC